AGCGGCAACAGCUCAAAUUUGAAAUCUGGCCCUUGUGGUCCGAGUUGUAAUUUGUAGAGGAUGCUUUUGGUGAGGUACCUUCCGAGUUCCCUGGAACGGGACGCCAUAGAGGGUGAGAGCCCCGUCUGGUUGGAUACCGAGCCUCUGUAAAGCUCCUUCGACGAGUCGAGUAGUUUGGGAAUGCUGCUCUAAAUGGGAGGUAUAUGUCUUCUAAAGCUAAAUAUUGGCCAGAGACCGAUAGCGCACAAGUAGAGUGAUCGAAAGAUGAAAAGCACUUUGAAAAGAGGGUUAAAUAGUACGUGAAAUUGUUGAAAGGGAAGCGCUUGUGACCAGACUUGGGCUUGGUUAAUCAUCCAGGGUUCUCCCUGGUGCACUUGGCCAGCCCAGGCCAGCAUCAGUUUGUCGCGGGGGAUAAAGGCGUCGGGAAUGUGGCUCCCCCGGGAGUGUUAUAGCCCUUCGUGUAAUACCCUGCUUUAGACUGAGGUUCGCGCAUCUGCAAGGAUGCUGGCGUAAUGGUCAUCAGCGACCCGUCUUGAAACACGGACCAAGGAGUCGUCUUCGUAUGCGAGUGUUCGGGUGUCAAACCCCUACGCGUAAUGAAAGUGAACGCAGGUGAGAGCUUCGGCGCAUCAUCGACCGAUCCUGAUGUUCUCGGAUGGAUUUGAGUAAGAGCAUACGGGGCCGGACCCGAAAGAAGGUGAACUAUGCCUGUGUAGGGUGAAGCCAGAGGAAACUCUGGUGGAGGCUCGCAGCGGUUCUGACGUGCAAAUCGAUCGUCAAACAUGGGCA
RNAcentral lists this ribosomal RNA (789 nucleotides) under Nectria dematiosa. RNAcentral describes it as "eukaryotic LSU rRNA". It matches the Rfam family "Eukaryotic large subunit ribosomal RNA", at positions 97 to 917 of the family's 3401-position model. The record is from RNAcentral. Lineage: Eukaryota; Fungi; Ascomycota; Sordariomycetes; Hypocreales; Nectriaceae.